This 1969-nucleotide ribosomal RNA is filed under the name human gut metagenome. RNAcentral describes it as "bacterial LSU rRNA". It matches the Rfam family "Bacterial large subunit ribosomal RNA", at positions 1 to 1983 of the family's 2925-position model. The record is from RNAcentral.
GAAAGUAAGCAAGGGCGCAUGGCGGAUGCCUUGGCUCUCGGAGGCGAUGAAGGACGUGAUAAGCUGCGAUAAGCUUCGGGGAGGUGCAAAUAACCUUUGAUCCGGAGAUUUCCGAAUGGGACAACCCAAUAUCUUGAAGAGAUAUUAUCCAACUUAGUUGGAGGCUAACGCAGGGAACUGAAACAUCUUAGUACCUGCAGGAAAAGAAAAUAAUAAUGAUUCCCCCAGUAGUGGCGAGCGAACGGGGAAUAGCCCAAACCGGUUAUGUUACGGCAUAACCGGGGUAGUAGGACUACGGCAUUGCAUGAAAACAGCAGAGAAGAACUUUCUGGAAAGAAAGACCAUAGAGCAUGACAGUUGCGUAUUCGAAUGUUGUCGAAGCAUAGUAGUAUCCUGAGUAGCGCGGAGCACGAGGAAUUCUGCGUGAAUCAGCCGGGACCAUCCGGUAAGGCUAAAUACUCCCGAGAGACCGAUAGUGAACCAGUACCGUGAGGGAAAGGUGAAAAGCACUUCGAACAGAAGAGUGAAAUAGUUCCUGAAACCGUGCGCCUACAAGCGGUCGGAGCAGCGUAAGCUGUGACGGCGUGCCUUUUGCAUAAUGAACCUACGAGUUACCGUUGCCGGCAAGGUUAAGGGUCAUGAGGCCUGUAGCCGAAGCGAAAGCGAGUCUGAACAGGGCGUAUAGUCGGUAGUGGUAGACGCGAAACCAAGUGAUCUACCCUUGAGCAGGUUGAAGUCCGGGUAACACCGGAUGGAGGACCGAACCAAUAAGCGUUGAAAAGCUUCUGGAUGACUUGAGGGUAGGGGUGAAAGGCUAAUCAAACUUGGAGAUAGCUCGUACUCCCCGAAAUGCAUUUAGGUGCAGCCUUGACCAUUACUAAUGUGAGGUAGAGCGACUGAUAAGAUGCGAGGGCUUCACCGCCUAUCAAGUCUUGAUAAACUCCGAAUGCGCAUUAGUUUGAGGUCAGGAGUGAGGGCAUGGGUGCUAAGGUCCGUGCCCGAGAGGAGAAGAAUCCAGACCACCUGCUAAGGUCCCGAAAUAACAGCUAAGUUAAACUAACGAAGUCAGAUUGCUAAGACAGCUAGGAUGUUGGCUUGGAAGCAGCCAUUCAUUUAAAGAGUGCGUAACAGCUCACUAGUCGAGGAGUUUGGCGUGGAUAAUAAUCGGGUAUUAAGCUGUUUACCGAAGCAGUGGGAUCAUAUAAUGAUCGGUAGGGGAGCAUUCCACUCUGCGUCGAAGGUGGGGCGUGAGCCCUGCUGGAGCGUGUGGAAAAGCAAAUGUAGGUAUAAGUAACGAUAAAGGGGGUGAGAAACCCCCUCGCCGCAAGACUCAGGUUUCCUGAUCAACGCUAAUCGGAUCAGGGUCAGUCGGGUCCUAAGGCUCAGCCGAACGGCGAGGCCGAUGGCAGAACCGGUUAAUAUUCCGGUACUACCCUUUAGGGUGACGUGGAGACGCAGUCGUGACAAUGCCGCCAGCUGACGGAAUAGCUGGUUAAAGGGUGUAGAAGUUGAUUGUGGCAGGCAAAUCCACCACAAGAUUCGAACCUGACAGUAUGGAGCGUCCUUCCGGACAAUCCAAUAGUGCAUGUAAUCAUACUGCCAAGAAAAUCCGCUAAACAUAACCUUCAGGGUACCCGUACCGCAAACGGACACACGUAGUCGGGUUGAAUAUACUAAGGCGCUUGAGUGAUUCACGGUUAAGGAACUAGGCAAAUUAACCCUGUAACUUCGGGAAAAAGGGUCCCUACCCGUUAGCGGGAGGGCGCAGAGAAUCGGUCCAGGCAACUGUUUAACAAAAACACAGGGCUGUGCGAAGUCGAAAGACGCUGUAUACAGCCUGACACCUGCCCGGUGCUGGAAGGUUAAGAGGAGAUGUCAUCGCAAGAGAAGCAUUGAAUUGAAGCCCCAGUAAACGGCGGCCGUAACUAUAACGGUCCUAAGGUAGCGAAAUUCCUUGUCGGGUAAGUUC